This 468-nucleotide ribosomal RNA is filed under the name uncultured bacterium. Its description in RNAcentral is "partial 16S ribosomal RNA". It matches the Rfam family "Bacterial small subunit ribosomal RNA", at positions 28 to 507 of the family's 1533-position model. The record is from RNAcentral.
GACGAACGCUGGCGGCGAGCUUAACUCAUUCAAGUCGAACGGAAAGGCCCUGCUUUUUUGCGUUGCUCGAGUGGCGAACGGGUGAGUAACACGUUAGUCACCUGCCCUUGACUUUGGGAUAACUUCAGGAAACUGGGGCUAAUACCGGAUAGGAGCUCCUGCUGCAUGGUGGGGGUUGGAAAGUUUCGGCGGUUGGGGAUGGACUCGCGGCUUCUCAGCUUGUUGGUGGGGUAGUGGUUUACCAAGGCUUUGACGGGUAGCCGGCCUGAGAGGGUGACCGGCCACAUUGGCAAUGAGAAACGCCCCAUACUCCGACGUGAGCAAUCAGUGUGGCAGAUAGCACAGUGAGACGAGUUCUAAUGCAGCACUGCAGGAUGCGGGAUCCAGGCCUUCGUAUAGAGAGCCGCGUUCAGCGGUAGCGAGGAGUGUGGGAGGUGAAUGGGUAGAUGGGCAAGGGCUAGCUACGUG